Molecule: non-coding RNA, 70 nt
Submitted as: unclassified sequences
Source: Rfam
UAAGGAACCGGCGAUGGAACCCGCCUGAACUCGUUUCGAACCGCACACUGCUGAUAGUUCCUACACACGA